This 479-nucleotide ribosomal RNA is filed under the name uncultured bacterium. RNAcentral describes it as "bacterial SSU rRNA". It matches the Rfam family "Bacterial small subunit ribosomal RNA", at positions 28 to 508 of the family's 1533-position model. The record is from RNAcentral.
GAUGAACGCUAGCGGCAGGCUUAACACAUGCAAGUCGAGGGGUAUCUAUCUUCGGAUAGAGAGACCGGCGCACGGGUGCGUAACGCGUAUGCAAUCUACCUUUUGCAGAGGGAUAGCCCAGAGAAAUUUGGAUUAAUACCUCAUAGUAUAGUGAUACCGCAUGGUACUGCUAUUAAAGUCACAACGGCAAAAGAUGAGCAUGCGUCCCAUUAGCUAGUUGGUAAGGUAACGGCUUACCAAGGCUACGAUGGGUAGGGGUCCUGAGAGGGAGAUCCCCCACACUGGUACUGAGACACGGACCAGACUCCUACGGGAGGCAGCAGUGAGGAAUAUUGGACAAUGGGCGCAAGCCUGAUCCAGCCAUGCCGCGUGUAGGAUGACGGUCCUAUGGAUUGUAAACUGCUUUUGCACAGGAAGAAACAACGCUACGUGUAGCGUCUUGACGGUACUGUGAGAAUAAGGAUCGGCUAACUCCGUGC